UACAGAGGUCUCAAGCGUUGUUCGGAUUCAUUGGGCGUAAAGGGUGCGUAGGUGGCGCCGUAAGUCAGGUGUGAAAUUUCGGAGCUUAACUCCGAAACUGCAUUUGAUACUGCGGUGCUUGAGGACUGGAGAGGAGACUGGAAUUCCUGGUGUAGCGGUGAAAUGCGCAGAUAUCAGGAGGAACACCGAUGGCGAAGGCAGGGUCUCUGGGCCAUUACUGACACUGAGAAGCGAAAGCAUGGGGAGCGAACAGG
This 254-nucleotide ribosomal RNA is filed under the name uncultured bacterium. RNAcentral's name for it is "partial 16S ribosomal RNA". It matches the Rfam family "Bacterial small subunit ribosomal RNA", at positions 524 to 776 of the family's 1533-position model. The record is from RNAcentral.